This 253-nucleotide ribosomal RNA is filed under the name uncultured bacterium. Its description in RNAcentral is "partial 16S ribosomal RNA". It matches the Rfam family "Bacterial small subunit ribosomal RNA", at positions 524 to 776 of the family's 1533-position model. The record is from RNAcentral. RNAcentral also lists the same sequence under 1 other name.
UACGUAGGGUGCAAGCGUUAAUCGGAAUUACUGGGCGUAAAGCGUGCGCAGGCGGUUGUGCAAGACAGGUGUGAAAUCCCCGGGCUUAACCUGGGAACUGCACUUGUGACUGCACGGCUGGAGUACGGCAGAGGGGGAUGGAAUUCCGCGUGUAGCAGUGAAAUGCGUAGAUAUGCGGAGGAACACCGAUGGCGAAGGCAGUCCCCUGGGCCUGUACUGACGCUCAUGCACGAAAGCGUGGGGAGCAAACAGG